This 2483-nucleotide long non-coding RNA is filed under the name Cyanistes caeruleus (blue tit). RNAcentral describes it as "lncRNA (ENSCCEG00000014222.1)". The record is from RNAcentral. Lineage: Eukaryota; Metazoa; Chordata; Aves; Passeriformes; Paridae.
AAAUGACCUUCAUUAUGUGUUAAGCUGACAUACUGCAAGACAUUCUGUCCUGGUUGCCUAGAUGUACAAAUAAAGAUGAUAAAGUGACAGCUGCCUGUUUUUCUAGAUGGACAGGUACUUAUUCAGAAGGAGAAUGAGAAACCCAGUGUUCAGCAGGAUCAGUGAAAAUUCCUGUCUACUGAAUUCCACAUUAUUGAAGUGAAAAGCAUGUUCAGAUGAUGCUUACAAGAUGAAGUUUGGAAAAUGAGUGAUGCUUUUAAUCUGUGCAGAGGUGUUUCAGUCCUGUCUGCAUUUUCUGUGUGCUCUUGCAGAUCGAAUUUUUCAAGUGAUGAAGUCUCUAAGCUCAGAUAUCUUCUACCUGGGGAAAGUGACUCCAGCUGGCUCCUAAGAAGGCUGUCCCUUCUGUACCUGGAUGGACUUCAAGCCUGCAUAGCCAUUGCCUUCAGUGGGAUUGUGGGGUUGGUGGUUGAAGUUCUACUACCUUUACACCCUUUGUUUAUUAUGUAGCUGCACUGUAGGCCAUGGGGAAACCUCUGUGUUGUUCUCUCUACCCGUUUAUAUGAUGCUUUACUGAUGCAUUUCUGCACACACCUAUUUGUCUGGUCCUUUUUGAGCCAAGCAAGAGCGCAACCAGUACAAGCAGCUAAUCUUACAGUGUGGAAGCUUGGGAGCAGUGAGAGGUGAUGAUGCAGAGAGGAGAUGAUGAGCCACAAUGGGAGAAGGUGGAGGCUGCUGACCAAAAGCUGGGGCAGGGUCUGCUGCAGACAUUAAAGCUGUUAAUUUGUUUUCACCUUGAUUGUUUGGAGGUUGCUGUUGUUAAGCUGCCUGGCUGGUGUGGCUGGAAGCUCUGCUGGUUUGUUUUCUUGAAGGACGAGCAAGAAACCCAUAGGUAAACCAGAAACCUCAGUUUGUUACUUCCCAAUAUUUUUUUUUCCUUUGCUUGGCCUUGUGCUAGAGACUUUUGGGGUUACUUGAGCGGAAAGGUAGAGGAGCAGGAUUGGUCUGGGAGAGCUAAUAGAUGCACACAGGGUAAGUGGUGCUGAAUGCAGGGUGCUGGUGUGCCCUGCCCUUGCUGCUCACCUCGGCUGUAAUUACAGCAGGAGAUGUCCCAGCAGAGGAAGUUGUUUGUAACCCUGGUGCUGCCUUUCGGUGCUACUGGGUUGUUACUCAUCCAGGCUGUUGGAGAUCCAGUAUGGCAGGGAACUCAGGAAGUCCUGGAGUCUGGAAGCAGGCAAAGGAGGCAUCCAGCCAAACCAGGUGGUUUGCAUUUCUGUCACUGCUUUUCAGAGCAAGCUGGUUAUUAAAGCUAUCCCAGACAAAAUAGCACAGUUCCUCUUUUUCUCCUGGUGCAUCCCAAUGAAGUAUUCAUUCACGUUAGUCAUGCCAUUCUCUGAAAUCUUUAUAUGUGCAUAAGCAAGGCUUGACUUGUCAUUGAAGUUUAGCAGGUGCAUAGAUAUUAAAAGUUCUGUGUCUUCUGUAAUUUUUUCCUGAUGUAGCAAUUUGGCCUUUACCAAUAGCCUUAGGUUUAAACGGCACAGGAUAUAAAACGAGUUAGUUAUGCUGCUAUGCUUGUUUAAGAAUAAUUGUAAAAAGUGCCUUUGGGUUUCCAGGAACACACAUUAACAGAAGUUGCAUUUCAGUGGCUUUGCAUGGUACCUGGCUUUCACAGCGGUUCAGCUGCUAUUCUCAGAAAAAAAAUGCCCAAAAACCACUUUAGUGGGAGAUUGAUGGAAAUGCAGUGAAUUUUGCUAGUGUUUGGAUUUCCCUGCAUCAGCCUCAGGAGAAUUUGAUGCUGUGUGUCUGCAGAAGGAAUAUUGGUCAGGGAGCCUUGCCAUCUUUAAAAAGGCACAUAAAACCUGAGUCUGCCCUGAGGGGAGGGUAGCCCUAAGGACCAGUCUGUGGAUCUUGCCCUGUAACCAGUGGGGGCUGGGAGUGUCUGGUACAGAACUGGCUGCUCUGUGACUGAGGAGGGAGUCUGAGUGCCCAAAACACCCACAGAGCUGCUCCUCCCUGCCUGUUCAACAGCACCACUGACACACUCUGGCACAGCCCAAGCUAGUUUUUCUGGCAUGGUCAUGAUAUGUUAUGCCAGUGAUGUAGUGAAACUAUAAUAUGUAAUUUUACCUUGAAUACUGUAUAUACACCCUGUGCUAUACUGUCCUUGCUCUGUUGUGAUGCAGUAGCCAUGCAGAAUGAUGGGAUCCCUAACCCAGUGGGAUGGCAGAACAAAAUCUGUUGCUUCGAAUACUUGUUGCUGCAAAACCAUACUUUUUACACAGGAGAAGGUUGUAUGUGAUUUUUAUUUUACCAUAAGGUAUUUAUUUGUAAUAGUUGACUGCAGCUGUCUUUUCCAGUUGUCUUUGCAGUUUGAGUAUCAGAAGGAUAAGAUACUCAGCUGAAAUGUAUUUCACCUAUUGACUGAUCAAAUUUGAAUACCAGAGAGUGUUAAUAAAGCUUAAACAAUGCCAUAGGUAUGGUAAACA